CAAUUUAAUUUCAACUAGAAUCAAACAAAUUCUCACAUAAGUAGAACUCGAUUUUAUUACGAAACACAAACAAAAUUUCGGUCCAACAGAUUCCAUAAAUAACAAAAUAGGGGUACGUAGAAAUAACGAAACAAAAACAGAUAAACAAAUGAUCGUUUACGAAGUCCAAAAUUCACAUCUAAAAAUACUAGAUAUAAAACAAAAGAAACUAAAAUCGAACACUAACUACAUCUAACGUUCACUCGGUCCCGACCCCGUCUGGCAAAUCAGUCUCGGUAUCUGGGUAAGCAACCAUACACUACAUUAGUCGGAUUAAGCAUACAAUACAAUAAAUAAAUGAAUACAAAAAUUAAUUCAAGCGACUGGUUUUCAAUUUGUCAAAUUUCAAAAAAACAAGAAUUUAUCAAAACUUAAAGUUCAGAUCGGUUUGAAAUUAUAAUUUUACAAAUGCAUUUCUCUUUCAGCAAAUAAACGAAAUAGAUAUUAAGUCUUCGGCAACUAACUAUAUUGUGUGAUUCGUUGGCGAGAUCCAGAGGCACCCGAAGGCGCAAACAAAACAGAGGCGCUCGAAGACGCAAACGAAACAGAGGCGCAGAUAGGCGCAGACACACGAAGGCGCAAUAUAAAGACGAAGCUCGCUUCUAUAACAAAAUACAUGUCGACAUGGCCAACAUAGCAUAGCAGAAUACCAGGAGACAUCAUAAUUCAAAAAUUAUCCAGUCACUAAUUUACAAAACAGAUUUUCAAAUUUCAAAAAUUUAUUUUGUUAAAAGGACCCGUCAAUCACAGUUGAAGCUCAAUAUACAGAAAUAUUAAAUAAUAUGCUUAACGCUUAAUUUUAAAAUCUACAAAAUAAGAUUUUCAUACAAUCGAAAUAUUUUUCUAAAUUAUUUUACGAAAAACUAACGGGUGUUCGGUCGCUUACCUUAACGCAGCUUUAAGGACAAAAAAUUUAUCCAAUC
RNAcentral lists this long non-coding RNA (962 nucleotides) under Ananas comosus (pineapple). RNAcentral's name for it is "long non-coding RNA (ACOM_LNC022382)". Lineage: Eukaryota; Viridiplantae; Streptophyta; Magnoliopsida; Poales; Bromeliaceae. The record is from RNAcentral.